RNAcentral lists this transfer RNA (70 nucleotides) under Bradysia impatiens. RNAcentral describes it as "tRNA-Gln". Lineage: Eukaryota; Metazoa; Arthropoda; Insecta; Diptera; Sciaridae. The record is from RNAcentral.
UAUAUNUNAGUGUAUUAKCACAAAAGUAUUUGAAACUUUUAGAGAUAGAUUAAUAUUCUAUUAAAUAUAA